UACGGGGGGUGCGAGCGUUGUCCGGAAUCACUGGGCGUAAAGGGCGCGUAGGUGGCUUGGCAAGCGCGUGGUGAAAGCCCGGGGCUCAACCCCGGGUCUGCCGUGCGAACUGCUAUGGCUUGAGCACUGUAGAGGCAGGUAGAAUUCCGGGUGUAGCGGUGGAAUGCGUAGAGAUCCGGAAGUAUACCGGUGGCGAAGGCGGCCUGCUGGGCAGUGGCUGACACUGAGGCGCGACAGCGUGGGGAGCAAACAGG
RNAcentral lists this ribosomal RNA (254 nucleotides) under uncultured bacterium. RNAcentral's name for it is "partial 16S ribosomal RNA". It matches the Rfam family "Bacterial small subunit ribosomal RNA", at positions 524 to 776 of the family's 1533-position model. The record is from RNAcentral.